UACGUAGGGUGCAAGCGUUAAUCGGAAUUACUGGGCGUAAAGCGUGCGCAGGCGGUUUUGUAAGUCUGUCGUGAAAUCCCCGGGCUUAACCUGGGAAUUGCGAUGAGACUGCAAGGCUUGAAUCUGGCAGAGGGGGGUAGAAUUCCACGUGUAGCAGUGAAAUGCGUAGAGAUGUGGAGGAACACCGAUGGCGAAGGCAGCCCCCUGGGUCAAGAUUGACGCUCAUGCACGAAAGCGUGGGGAGCAAACAGG
This 252-nucleotide ribosomal RNA is filed under the name uncultured bacterium. Its description in RNAcentral is "partial 16S ribosomal RNA". It matches the Rfam family "Bacterial small subunit ribosomal RNA", at positions 524 to 776 of the family's 1533-position model. The record is from RNAcentral.